This 334-nucleotide unclassified non-coding RNA is filed under the name soil metagenome. RNAcentral's name for it is "partial contains 5.8S ribosomal RNA, internal transcribed spacer 2, and large subunit ribosomal RNA". The stretch from base 1 to 120 matches the Rfam family "5.8S ribosomal RNA", at positions 35 to 154 of the family's 154-position model. The record is from RNAcentral.
GAUGAAGAACGUAGCGAAAUGCGAUAAGUAGUGUGAAUUGCAGAAUUCAGUGAAUCAUCGAAUCUUUGAACGCACAUUGCGCCCCUUGGUAUUCCAUGGGGCAUGCCUGUUCGAGCGUCAUUUGUACCUUCAAGCUUUGCUUGGUGUUGGGUGUUUGUCCAUUCUCUUGCAGAGGGACUCGCCUUAAAGUAAUUGGCAGCCAGUGUUUUGGUUUUGAAGCGCAGCACAAGUCGCGAUUCAAAGCUAUACGCCCGCUUCCACAAGCCUUUUUCACUUUUGACCUCGGAUCAGGUAGGGAUACCCGCUGAACUUAAGCAUAUUAAUAAGCGGAGGA